CACCUUUUGACAUGCCCUGAUCGCCACAGAGAUGUGGUUUUCCCUUCGGGGACAGGGACACAGGUGCUGCAUGGCUGUCGUCAGCUCGUGUCGUGAGAUGUUGGGUUAAGUCCCGCAACGAGCGCAACCCUCGCCAUUAGUUGCCAUCAUUAAGUUGGGCACUCUAAUUGGGACCGCCGGUGGUAAGCCGGAGGAAGGUGGGGAUGACGUCAAGUCCUCAUGGCCCUUAUGUCCAGGGCUACACACGUGCUACAUUGGCACAUACAAAGGGCAGCAAUACCGCGAGGUGGAGCAAAUCCCAGAAAGUGCGCCUCGGUUCGAAUUGGAGGCUGAAACUCGCCUCCAUGAAGGUGGAGUUGCUAGAAUCGCGGAUCAGCAUGCCGCGGU
Molecule: ribosomal RNA, 387 nt
Filed under: uncultured bacterium
Lineage: Bacteria
Description: bacterial SSU rRNA
Rfam family: Bacterial small subunit ribosomal RNA
Source: RNAcentral